CAUUUUUUACAUAAUCGGCAUCGGCCAAUAUUAAGCCGAUUAAUAGGCAGGCGCAUCUGCGGGCAGCCUGGUGUUGUUGUUGUUGUGGAACACGUGUUUGACGCACGCUGCCCCUAGAGUCAAUUACCAGCAGAGUGAGCAGACCUUAUCCAGUGCCUAAAGAAGGAGCUGUUCCUCGGAGAAAACGUCAUUAAGUCUGAUGGCUGAAAAGAAAACCACCCCCUUAUGGCAGCGCUUCACCCAGCCAACACCA
Long non-coding RNA from Sander lucioperca (pikeperch), 253 nucleotides. RefSeq lists it as uncharacterized. The record is from RefSeq and is a predicted model, not a curated record. NCBI's taxonomy places the organism in Eukaryota, Metazoa, Chordata, Actinopteri, Perciformes, Percidae. The transcript has 2 exons.